This 58-nucleotide transfer RNA is filed under the name Aspiculuris tetraptera. RNAcentral describes it as "tRNA-Ala". Lineage: Eukaryota; Metazoa; Nematoda; Chromadorea; Rhabditida; Heteroxynematidae. The record is from RNAcentral.
AGGAUUUUAGUUUAUUUAUUAAAAUUUAAGUUUAGCAUUCUUAAGAAUUAGAAUUCUU